Molecule: ribosomal RNA, 873 nt
Filed under: uncultured archaeon
Lineage: Archaea
Description: bacterial SSU rRNA
Rfam family: Archaeal small subunit ribosomal RNA
Source: RNAcentral
UGGCUCAGUAACACGUGGAGAAUCUAACCUUUGGUGGAGGAUAAUCUCGGGAAACUGAGAAUAAUACUCCAUAAACAUAGGAUGCUGGAAUGCUUCUAUGUUGAAAGGCAACGCCAAAGGAUGACUCUGCGACCUAUCAGGCUGUAGUGAGUGUAAUGGACUCACUAACCUGCAACGGGUACGGGUGUUGGAAGACAUUGCCCAGAGAUGGACUCUGAGACAUGAGUCCAGGUUCUACGGAACGCAGCAGGCGCGAAAACUCCGCAAUGUACGAAAGUACGACGGGGGAAUUCUGAGUGCUUACGCCUUGCGUAGGCUGUUUUCUUGUCUAAAAAACAAGGAGAGUAAGGGCUGGGUAAGACGGGUGCCAUCUCGUGCAAUUCUGCACUUAUUGUGUUCGUUGCACGAAGCACAAGCCGCCGCGGUAAUACCCGCGGCCCGAGUGGUGCUCAUUAUUAUUGAGCCUAAAACGUCCGUAGCCGGUUUAAUAAAUUCUUGGGUAAAUCAUAUCGCUUAACGAUAUGAAUUCUGAGAACACUGCUAAACUCGGGAAUGGGAGAGGCCAGAGGUACUUUCAGGGUAGGGGUAAAAUCCCGUAAUCCUGAGAGGACCACCGGUGGCGAAGGCGUCUGGCUAGAACAUAUUCGACGGUAAGGGACGAAGCCCUGGGGCGCAAACGGGAUUAGAUACCCCGGUAGUCCAGGGUGUAAACGCUGUAGAUUUGGUGUUGGAAAUCCUACGGGGAUUCCCAGUGCCGGAGAGAAGUUGUUAAAUCUACUGCUUGGGGAGUACGGUCGCAAGACUGAAACUUAAAGGAAUUGGCGGGGGAGCACCGCAACGGGUGGAGCGUGCGGUUUAAUUGGAUUCAACGCC